This 1308-nucleotide unclassified non-coding RNA is filed under the name Hevea brasiliensis (rubber tree). Lineage: Eukaryota; Viridiplantae; Streptophyta; Magnoliopsida; Malpighiales; Euphorbiaceae. The record is from RNAcentral.
ACCAUUUCUCAGUUCAUUCAUUAUCUUGCAAGUUUCUUCAUUAGCAAUCUCCUUAGUUACUUCCAGUUUUUCGUUGUUCCCCUCAUUUUUGCCAGCUAAUUGAGUUGCUCCAAGGCUCUCAUCAUCACCCAGCUUAUAUGCCUGAUUCAAUACACUCUGAUCCUCUGCCAUUUUGUUUAGUGCCUUUCGCUUUCCACUCUCUCCAACAUCUAUGAGUUUUGCCUCUGUCUCAUCCCACUUACAUGACACUUGAGAAGAGGUCCCAAUCUCUUCCGCCCCACAGCCCUCAUAUAGUGCUGUUUCACUUCCUUCGGCUUCCUGGGCCCAUCUUGAGGUCAUGCAUUCUUGUUGCUCGCAUACCCCUUCUAGUCUCUUUCCAACUUCUCUUUCACCGGCCUCUUGUUCAAUUUUUUCUUUGUCAUAAGUCUCUUUGCAUCUCUUUUUACUUUCCACUUUUUCUUGAGCCUCUCUCUUCUCAUUUUCCUCUCUUUCAUAUGCCUUUCUUUGUCUCCUCUCAUUCUCUUCACACUCAACAGCUGCUUUUAGUCCCCUCUCAUUCUCUUCCUUCUCAAGAGUCUCUUUUAGUCUCUUCUCAUUUUCUUCUCUUUCAUAAGCCUUUCUUUCCCUCUUCGCAUUCUCUUCCUGUUCAACAGCCUCUCUUAGCCUUCUCUGCCUCUCUUCCUUCUCAACAGUUUCUUUCAGUUUCCUUUCAUUCUCUUCGUUCUCCUCAUUCUCCUGAGCCUCUUUCAAUCUCUUCUCAUUUUCUUCACUUUCAUGAGCCUCUCUUUGUCUCUUCUCAUUUUCUUCUCUUUCAUGAAUCUCUCUUUGUAUCUUGUUAUUCUCUUCCCAUUCAACAGCCUCUCUUUGUCUUCUCAAUCUCUCUUCCUUCUCAUAAGUCUCCCUCAGUCUCCUCUUCUCUUCCUGCUCAAGAGCCUCUUUCAGUCUCCUCUUUUUUUCUUCCCGCCUAAGUGUCUCCCUUAGUCUCUUCUCAUGUUCUUCUCUUUCAUAAGCUUCUCUCCGUAUCUUCUCAUUUUCUUCCCACUCAUGAACCGCCUUUAUCAUCUUCUCUUUUUCUUCCUGCUCAAGUGCCUUCUUCAGCCUUCUAUCAUUAUUUGCUAGUUCAAGAGGCACAUUAAGUUUUUUCUCAUUUUCUUCAAGCUCAAAAGCCUUUAUUUCUCUCCUUUCACAUUCAUCCUUUUCACCAGUGAAUUUUUUCACAUCCUCCACACUUUUAUUAUCCUCUUUUAGCUGUGAUCCUUUCUCCUUGUGCUUCAUAGACAGCCUAGCUGCAAUUUUAUUUUCUCUCUG